CAGCGAUUACGGCUCGAGUCUUCUUGGGUAUGACACUACAAGCUUGGCACACCUGUAUUUGGGGAGUUUCCCCCAUUCUUCUCUGCAUGGCCUCUCAAGCUCUGUCAGGUUGGAUGGGGAGUGUCGCUGCAGAGCUAUUUUCAGGUCUCUCCAGAGAUGUUAGAUCGGGUUCAAUUCCGGGCUCUGGCUGGGCCACUCAAGGACAUUCAGAGACUUGUCUCGAAGCCACUCCUGCAUUGUCUUGGCUGUGUGCUUAGGGGCAUUGUCCUGUUGGAAGGUUAACCGUAGCCCCACUCUGAGAGCUCUGGAACAGGUUUUAAUCAAGGAUCGCUCUGUACUUUGCUAUGUUCAUCUUUGCCUCAAUCCUGACUAGUCUCCCAGUCCCUGCUGCUGAAAAACAUCCCCAUAGCAUGAUUCUGCCACCACCAUGCUUCACCGUAGGGAUGGUGCCACGUUUCCUCCAGAUGUGACACUUGGCAUUCAGGCCAAAGACUUCAAUCUUGUUCAUCAGACCAGGGAAUGUUGUUUCUCAUGGUCUGAGUCUUUAGGUGAAUUUUGGCAAACUCCAAGUGGGCUGUCAUGUGCCUUUUACUGAGGAGUGGCUUCUGUCUGGCCACCUUACCAUAAAGGCCUGAUUGGUGGAGUGCUGCAGAGAUGGUUGUCCUUCUAGAAGGUUCUCCCAUCUCCACAGAAGAACUCUGGAGCUCGGUCAGAGUGACCAUCGGGUUCUUGGUCACCUCCCUGACCAAGGCCCUUCUCCCCCGAUUGUUCAGUUUGGCCGGGUGGCCAGCUCUAGAGUCUUGGUGGUUCCAAACUUCUUCCAUUCAAGAUUGUUGGAGGCCACUGUGCUUUUGGGGACCUUCAACACUGCAAAAAUGUUUUGGUACCCUUCCCCAGAUCUGUCUCUCGACACUAUCCUGUCUCGGAGCUCUAUGGACAAUUCCUUCGACUUCAUGGCUUGGUUUUUGUUGUGACAUGCACUGUCAACUGUGGGACCUUAUAUAGACAGGUGUGUGCCUUUCCAAAUCAUGUCCAAUCAAUAGAAUUUUCCACAGGUGGACUCCAAUCAAGUUGUAGACACAUCUCAAGGAUGAACAAUGUAAAACAGGAUGCUCCUCAGCUCAAUUUCAAUUCUCAUAGCAAAGGGUCUGAAUACUUAUGUAAAUAAGGUAUGUUUUUUUUUUUUACAUAAUUACAUUUGCAAAAAUGUUUAAAAACCUGUUUUUGCUUUGUCAUUAUGGGGUAUUGUGUGUAGAUUGCUGAGGAUUUUUUUGGUAUUUAA
Molecule: long non-coding RNA, 1282 nt
Filed under: Salmo salar (Atlantic salmon)
Lineage: Eukaryota; Metazoa; Chordata; Actinopteri; Salmoniformes; Salmonidae
Description: lncRNA (ENSSSAG00000121249.1)
Source: RNAcentral